Molecule: ribosomal RNA, 372 nt
Filed under: uncultured organism
Description: bacterial SSU rRNA
Rfam family: Bacterial small subunit ribosomal RNA
Source: RNAcentral
CGUAGGUCCCGAGCGUUAUCCGGAUUUACUGGGCGUAAAGCGUGUUCAGGCGGUCUAGCAAGUCGGGCAUGAAAUCUCUCGGCUCAACCGGGAGGGGUUGUCCGAUACUGCUGGGCUUGAGGGCAGCAGAGGGUGGUGGAAUUCCGGGUGUAGUGGUGAAAUGCGUAGAUAUCCGGAGGAACACCAGUGGCGAAGGCGGCCACCUGGGCUGUACCUGACGCUCCAACACGAAAGCUAGGGGAGCGAACGGGAUUAGAAACCCCGGUAGUCCUAGCCGUAAACGAUGUUGACUAGGUGUCGACGGUCUAAACCCCGCCGGUGCCGGAGCUAACGCACGAAGUCAACCGCCUGGGGACUACGGCCGCAAGGUUA